AUGGCUGUCGUCAGCUCGUGUCGUGAGAUGUUGGGUUAAGUCCCGUAACGAGCGCAACCCUUGUCCUUAGUUGCCAGCACGUAAUGGUGGGAACUCUAAGGAGACUGCCGGUGACAAACCGGAGGAAGGUGGGGAUGACGUCAAGUCAUCAUGGCCCUUAUGGCCUGGGCUACACACGUGCUACAAUGGCCGGUACAGAGGGUUGCGAGACCGCAAGGUUUAGCUAAUCUCAGAAAGCCGGUCGUAGUCCGGAUUGGAGUCUGCAACUCGACUCCAUGAAGUCGGAAUCGCUAGUAAUCGCGAAUCAGAAUGUCGCGGUGAAUACGUUCCCGGGCCUUGUACACACCGCCCGUCACACCAUGGGAGUGGGUUGUACCAGAAGUAGGUAGCUUAACCUUCGGGAGGGCGCUUACCACGGUAUGGUUCAUGACUGGGGUGAAGUCGUAACAAGGUAGCCGUAUCGGAAGGUGCGGCUGGAUCACCUCCUUUCUAGAGAAAGCCUGUCUGUAAGCAUUCACACUUAUCAGUUAUUAAAAUUAGCAUAAAGAUAUAAUCAGCCCAUUUAGGGUCUGUAGCUCAGCUGGUUAGAGCACCGUCUUGAUAAGGCGGGGGUCGAUGGUUCGAGUCCAUCCAGACCCACCAGAUUAAAUACAAGUACAACUAUUUGUUUAAUUAAGGGGGAUUAGCUCAGCUGGGAGAGCACCUGCUUUGCAAGCAGGGGGUCAUCGGUUCGAUCCCGUUAUCCUCCACCAAUAUCUUUAUUAAAGAGGUAAGCCUCAAGGGUUGUAAGCAAUCUUUGAGGCUAGCUUUUGGCUAGUAUGUUCUUUAACAAUAUGGAAGAAGUAAACUGAAAUCAUAAGAUCGUGAUGAGAUUGUGAUUUCAAUGGGUAGUGAUUGUAAAAUCAAAACUAAAUCAACAAAAGAAAACUAAGAAGUUUUAGUAUUUAUAGUUGUUUUAAGCAAUGCUUUAGAAGAAACUAUAACGAUCGUCUCAUGCGAAAUAAUUUAAGUUUAAAAGGGCUUAGGUUUUAAAGUUAUAGGAUCAAGUGAAUAAGUGCAUAUGGUGAAUGCCUUGGCGAUUACAGGCGAUGAAGGACGUGGUAGUCUGCGAAAUUUUUCGGGGAGCUGACAAACGAGCUUUGAUCCGGAAGUGUCCGAAUGGGGAAACCCGG
This 1172-nucleotide small RNA is filed under the name uncultured bacterium. RNAcentral's name for it is "bacterial SSU rRNA". The stretch from base 1 to 489 matches the Rfam family "Bacterial small subunit ribosomal RNA", at positions 1045 to 1533 of the family's 1533-position model. The record is from RNAcentral.